AGUCACUGACAUUAGAUACCCCUGUAGUCCAGGGUGUAAACGCUGCAGACUUGGUGUUGGGGGCCCUUUGGGGCAUUCAGUGCCGGAGAGAAGUUGUUAAGUCUGCUACUUGGGGAGUACGUCCGCAAGGAUGAAACUUAAAGGAAUUGGCGGGGGAGCACCGCAACGGGAGGAGCGUGCGGUUUAAUUGGAUUCAACACCGUAAAACUCACCAGGGAAGCCUGUUACAUGAAGGCCGAGAUGAAGACUCUGCUAGAUUUUCAG
RNAcentral lists this ribosomal RNA (264 nucleotides) under uncultured archaeon. RNAcentral describes it as "partial 16S ribosomal RNA". It matches the Rfam family "Archaeal small subunit ribosomal RNA", at positions 718 to 982 of the family's 1478-position model. The record is from RNAcentral.